Otolemur garnettii (small-eared galago) is the source of this 101-nucleotide unclassified non-coding RNA. It matches the Rfam family "Y RNA". Rfam says of the family: Y RNAs are components of the Ro ribonucleoprotein particle (Ro RNP), in association with Ro60 and La proteins. The Y RNAs and Ro60 and La proteins are well conserved, but the function of the Ro RNP is not known. Lineage: Eukaryota; Metazoa; Chordata; Mammalia; Primates; Galagidae. The record is from Ensembl.
GGCUGGUCCAAGUGCAGUUUGUUUACAACAAAUUUAUCACAACCAGUUACAGAUUCCCUUGUUCCUUCUCUAUUCCCACGGCUUCACCUGACUACCUUUAA